CAUCCAUGCCGCGUGCAUGACGAAGGCCUUCAGGGUUGUAANAGUGUCUUUUGUACCGGAAACGAAACACCGCUGUCUAUACAUCACCGCGGGUACAUUAACGGAUACCCUGAAAAAUAUAACACCCGCGGUAUACAUAUCACUGUGCCACACACGCGGCGGUAAAUAUACUAUAGGGUGGGAACGCGUUAAAACUCGAAUUACACGGGCGCUUAAGACGUGUCCCAGCGGGGUAUCAUAAAAAAGCAUUGUAAAUCCCCGCGGCCUUCACCCGGGGAAUGUGGCCUUGGGUACAGGAUAUACUUAAAUGUGGAUCAGAGAGGGGGGAUGAGAUUUCCCGCUGUUAUAGCGAGGUAGAAUGCGCUAUAAUAUUAGUUGGCGAGAGAGAAUCACACAGAGUGGCGCAAAAGCGCACACCCCCCGUGGAAUCCCAUGACCAUCGAGCACGCCUACUAGUCGCCGCAAAAGACGCUUGGUGGGGAGGCGCAAACACGGAGUAUUGAGUAUCACCCCC
Molecule: ribosomal RNA, 514 nt
Filed under: uncultured bacterium
Lineage: Bacteria
Description: partial 16S ribosomal RNA
Source: RNAcentral